GAUGAACGCUGGCGGCGUGCCUAAUACAUGCAAGUCGAGCGAACAGACGAGGAGCUUGCUCCUCUGACGUUAGCGGCGGACGGGUGAGUAACACGUGGAUAACCUACCUAUAAGACUGGGAUAACUUCGGGAAACCGGAGCUAAUACCGGAUAAUAUAUUGAACCGCAUGGUUCAAUAGUGAAAGACGGUUUUGCUGUCACUUAUAGAUGGAUCCGCGCCGCAUUAGCUAGUUGGUAAGGUAACGGCUUACCAAGGCGACGAUGCGUAGCCGACCUGAGAGGGUGAUCGGCCACACUGGAACUGAGACACGGUCCAGACUCCUACGGGAGGCAGCAGUAGGGAAUCUUCCGCAAUGGGCGAAAGCCUGACGGAGCAACGCCGCGUGAGUGAUGAAGGUCUUCGGAUCGUAAAACUCUGUUAUUAGGGAAGAACAAAUGUGUAAGUAACUAUGCACGUCUGGACGGUACCUAAUCAGAAAGCCACGGCUAACUACGUG
RNAcentral lists this ribosomal RNA (497 nucleotides) under uncultured bacterium. RNAcentral's name for it is "partial 16S ribosomal RNA". It matches the Rfam family "Bacterial small subunit ribosomal RNA", at positions 28 to 507 of the family's 1533-position model. The record is from RNAcentral.